AGCAUCCAAGGAUUCUUUCGUUUUCCUACUGCAGAAAUCAAGUAUUUAUCAUCUCUUAUACUCUACAGAUGGAUCGGGUAACAGCGUCUUACAUCUCGCAUGUGAAAACAACCCUGCGGUAUGAAAUUAGGAUGUAUUAAAUGGUAUUUAACAAUUACUUGUUAUUACGUAUAUAAGAAACUAUAAUAGUAACAAUCAAUAAGUUGUUAUGUUAAGUUAAUAUAUGUUUGUCUCAGAUUGCAGAGUACUUGAUCAAGGAAACGAAUAUAGAUGUGAAUGCCCAGAACAAUAAAAAACUUACAGCGCUUGGCAUGCUUUACCGGAACAGGUUUAAUCGAGAUAGAGGCGUUAUUCAAACCUUAUUAAUCAAUGCAGGUGGUAACAAGGGAGUACAAAUUUUAUCAAAAACCAAUGAUGUUGUUAGAGCAACGGAUGAUGAAAAACAAGUGUCCGAUUUUGAUACAAAGCCAGCGGAUGAUGAAAGAGAAGCAGACAAUUUCGAUUCAGAGCCUAUCUUAUCUCCUACAAACAAUUCAUCACAUGAAGAUCAAGAGCCUAAUAUAUCUCAUGCAAGCUAUUCAUCACCUCAACAACAUCUAGUUGGUGAAAGAAGAAGAAGAUUGAAAGCAAAACGCAAUGCUACAAAACAAAAGGACAAACGUGGCAGCACAAGGAAGAUGGACUUCACUGAAGACAUUAGUGGCCUGGAACAAAUACAUGAAGAGGCACUGCAAAAUGCGAGAAACACAAUCAUUUUAGUUGCUACUUUGAUUGCAGCAGUGACUUUCACUGCUGGGAUAAGUCCUCCUGGUGGUGUUUACCAGGAAGGAAUUAUGAAAGGGAAGUCAAUUCUAGCAAGAACUGCAGGUUUUAAGGUUUUUGCAAUAACUAACACUAUUGCGUUGUUCACAUCUCUUUCCAUGGUUCUUAUUCUAGUGAGGAUCAUACCCUUUCGAAGAAAAACACAGAAGAGAAUACUGAAAAUUGCAGAUAGGAUAAUGUGGUUAGCAGUGUCAUUCAUGGGAGCAGCUUACCUGGCAGCCUCAUGGGUGAUAAUGUCUCCUGUUCGAGGGACAGAAUGGAUGCCUGUCAUUGUAUUGUUAGUGGGUGCUGCUAUACUGUCAAUUACUUUUAUUGGGAUAUUGGUGAUGCUUGUUGAGCAGAAGUGGAGGAAAAAGCAAAGGAGGUCAGAGAAGAAUGGAAGGAGAGAUAUGGAUGAACGGAAACUCAAAAUUCCAGAAUCAGAUAUUGAGACUAAUUAUGAGCGAGGAUAUUACUCAUUUUGAUUGUAUUGAAAUACCCAAUUCAACAAUAAAGUCUUUCACAAAAACCCAAUACCAAGCAUUAGACUUUAAUUGUAAGGAAUAAAGCAAUUGGUUCUUGUCAUGUUGGAAUCCUUCUUCAGACACCUUUCUCAUUAGUCAUCAUUUUCUGUCUCUUUCUGUAUGUGCAUUGUUCAGUUUGCCUCAUCGUUUAGUUUUAAUCUCAUACCUCCACGCUUUUUAUCGGUAUCACUAACCCUUCACAAGAAUUAUAUCAACAAAAAAAAGUACAUAAAUAGAAAAAAAAAAUUGCAUUACUUGGUUAUUUUCAUAGACUUUAGAGAACUAUGGUUUUUGAGGUAACUAGACAUGAGCAAAAAUGAAGGCACAGUUUAUAAUAGCAAUUCCAUAAUCAUACAUCACCAAUUACAAUUACAUUCAAAUUGAUGGACGCGAUCGAGAGCAUUACCGGUUGGGUUAAUGGUGGAGCAGUGGUGGAGAUAGAGAGAACGACUGCUGACUCCGUACGACAAGUGCUUUCGAUGGAUUUCUCUGGCGACGAGGGAAACUUUUCCAUGUCAUUCAAGAGCGACGAGAGAAAAGUCAUCAUUUUCAAAACUUCCGUACUCAAAUCCUAAUUUAGCGGUGGCCGCUAUCUCCACUCUCCAACGACAGGUCGUCCAGUUAUUUUUCUCUAAAUCUAUAUUUGGGCUUUAAGAAGCCCAAAUAUAUAUAUAUAUAUAUAUAUAUUUAAAAAAAAAAAAAUGAAAUGGUACUACUUGUAUAGAAAUUUC
This 2056-nucleotide long non-coding RNA is filed under the name Jatropha curcas. RNAcentral's name for it is "long non-coding RNA (JCUR_LNC001395)". Lineage: Eukaryota; Viridiplantae; Streptophyta; Magnoliopsida; Malpighiales; Euphorbiaceae. The record is from RNAcentral.